CCUUCACGACUAUCCAUUUAACGGCUGGGGCAGAAACCCAUUUAAACUCCCGUAAUUAUCCUGAAGAUGAAGACAUUCUGGUGAACAUCACAUCUCCUGCAAACAGCCAAAUCCAACUUUAUAUUACGUUCGAUCCAAUCCAAACUAAUCAUGGCAAUGAUGUAGUUUACGUAUACGAAGGAUGGACAUCGAAUCAAGUUGUACCAACGAAAAGAUGGGAUCUAUCUGCAUCAUCUUUCCCGGUGAAUAUUACAUCACAUGGGUCGUAUAUAUGGAUACAAUUCAAUCGUAACGCUGGCAAACGGAGGGACAUCUUUCAGGUUGUUGCAUCUUCUCAGAUCCGAAAUAUCAGUUUGCAGCCUUGGAAUCAUGCAUCCAUUC
This 381-nucleotide unclassified non-coding RNA is filed under the name Lytechinus variegatus (green sea urchin). RNAcentral describes it as "uncharacterized LOC121430777, transcript variant X1". The record is from RNAcentral. Lineage: Eukaryota; Metazoa; Echinodermata; Echinoidea; Temnopleuroida; Toxopneustidae.